Molecule: ribosomal RNA, 505 nt
Filed under: uncultured bacterium
Lineage: Bacteria
Description: partial 16S ribosomal RNA
Rfam family: Bacterial small subunit ribosomal RNA
Source: RNAcentral
GACGAACGCUGGCGGCGUGCCUAAUACAUGCAAGUAGAACGCACAGUUUAUACCGUAGCUUGCUACACCAUAAACUGUGAGUUGCGAACGGGUGAGUAACGCGUAGGUAACCUGCCUGGUAGCGGGGGAUAACUAUUGGAAACGAUAGCUAAUACCGCAUAAUAUUGAUUAUUGCAUGAUAAUUGAUUGAAAGAUGCUAUUGCAUCACUACCAGAUGGACCUGCGUUGUAUUAACUAGUAGGUGAGGUAACGGCUCACCUAGGCGACGAUACAUAGCCGACCUGAGAGGGUGAUCGGCCACACUGGGACUGAGACACGGCCCAGACUCCUACGGGAGGCAGCAGUAGGGAAUCUUCGGCAAUGGACGAAAGUCUGACCGAGCAACGCCGCGUGAGUGAAGAAGGUUUUCGGAUCGUAAAGCUCUGUUGUAAGAGAAGAACGGGUGUGAGAGUGGAAAGUUCACACUGUGACGGUAUCUUACCAGAAAGGGACGGCUAACUACGUG